GGGGGGGCAAGCGUUGUUCGGAAUUACUGGGCGUAAAGGGCGUGUAGGCGGUCCCGCAAGUCUUUCGUGAAAUCCCACAGCUCAACUGUGGAAUUGCGAGGGAAACUGCAGGACUUGAGUUCGGGAGAGGAGAGUGGAAUUCCCAGUGUAGCGGUGAAAUGCGUAGAUAUUGGGAGGAACACCGGUGGCGAAGGCGGCUCUCUGGACCGACACUGACGCUGAGGCGCGAAAGCUAGGGGAGCAAACGGGGAUUAGAUACCCCGGUAGUCCUAGCCCUAAACGAUGAGCACUUGGUGUGGCGGGUAUCGACCCCUGCCGUGCCCGAAGCUAACGCAUUAAGUGCUCCGCCUGGGGAGUACGGUCGCAAGGCUG
RNAcentral lists this ribosomal RNA (372 nucleotides) under uncultured organism. RNAcentral's name for it is "partial 16S ribosomal RNA". It matches the Rfam family "Bacterial small subunit ribosomal RNA", at positions 528 to 896 of the family's 1533-position model. The record is from RNAcentral.